Haliotis rubra (blacklip abalone) is the source of this 188-nucleotide long non-coding RNA. RefSeq lists it as uncharacterized. The transcript has 3 exons. Lineage: Eukaryota; Metazoa; Mollusca; Gastropoda; Lepetellida; Haliotidae. The record is from RefSeq and is a predicted model, not a curated record.
UGAAGAUAUCCUGUGCAUCAAUGCUGUCCUGGCUCCGGGCUGGCUCCGAGCUGGCUCCUCCUCCUGGCUCCGACCCCACAUACAGAAUAUACUGUUAAUUCCUGAUAAGUCAACUACCUGACUGGGCAAGCAGUGAUAUGGACACAAUAGUCAUGUAUUGGCACAGUGAGGAUGAAAGGAUCACGUUA